GCGUGCGGAUGACGGUCCUAUGGAUUGUAAACUGCUUUUGUACGGGAAGAAACCCUCCUACGUGUAGGAGCUUGACGGUACCGUAAGAAUAAGGAUCGGCUAACUCCGUGCCAGCAGCCGCGGUAAUACGGAGGAUCCAAGCGUUAUCCGGAAUCAUUGGGUUUAAAGGGUCCGUAGGCGGUUUAGUAAGUCAGUGGUGAAAGCCCAUCGCUCAACGGUGGAACGGCCAUUGAUACUGCUGAACUUUGAAUUACUUGGGAAGUAACUAGAAUAUGUAGUGUAGCGGUGAAAUGCUUUAGAGAUUACAUGGAAUACCAANUUGCGAAGGCAGGUUACUACCAGUGGAUUGACGCUGAUGGACGAAAGCGUGGGUAGCGAACAGGAUUAGAUACCCUGGUAGUCCAAGGGCGAAU
Molecule: ribosomal RNA, 413 nt
Filed under: uncultured bacterium
Lineage: Bacteria
Description: bacterial SSU rRNA
Rfam family: Bacterial small subunit ribosomal RNA
Source: RNAcentral